CUGCAAGGUAUGUUUGACUUAAUAAAGGUGUAAAAAUACACCUAAAAUAAUAAAUGGGUAACAAAGCAGGUUAGUCUAAAUCCAUUCUAGGAAAGGACCCAACUGGGUAAUUGGAUAGAAAAAGGAUAGUCUUAGAGCAGUGUCUGAGAGAAUCUGGAAAGGGCAGGAUUAAUAGCAACUAAUGGGGCGCACCCAAACUGAUAUCGAGUAGCUUAUACUAAAGAGAAAAGGAGC
Pelobates cultripes (western spadefoot toad) is the source of this 234-nucleotide non-coding RNA. The record is from the annotation of a GenBank genome assembly. NCBI's taxonomy places the organism in Eukaryota, Metazoa, Chordata, Amphibia, Anura, Pelobatidae.